Molecule: ribosomal RNA, 496 nt
Filed under: uncultured bacterium
Lineage: Bacteria
Description: partial 16S ribosomal RNA
Rfam family: Bacterial small subunit ribosomal RNA
Source: RNAcentral
AUGAACGCUGGCGGCGUGCCUAAUACAUGCAAGUCGAGCGAACAGACGAGGAGCUUGCUCCUCUGACGUUAGCGGCGGACGGGUGAGCAACACGUGGAUAACCUACCUAUAAGACUGGGAUAACUUCGGGAAACCGGAGCUAAUACCGGAUAAUAUAUUGAACCGCAUGGUUCAAUAGUGAAAGACGGUUUUGCUGUCACUUAUAGAUGGAUCCGCGCCGCAUUAGCUAGUUGGUAAGGUAACGGCUUACCAAGGCGACGAUGCGUAGCCGACCUGAGAGGGUGAUCGGCCACACUGGAACUGAGACACGGUCCAGACUCCUACGGGAGGCAGCAGUAGGGAAUCUUCCGCAAUGGGCGAAAGCCUGACGGAGCAACGCCGCGUGAGUGAUGAAGGUCUUCGGAUCGUAAAACUCUGUUAUUAGGGAAGAACAAAUGUGUAAGUAACUAUGCACGUCUUGACGGUACCUAAUCAGAAAGCCACGGCUAACUACGUG